AGUGAACGCUGGCGGUAUGCCUAACACAUGCAAGUCGAACGGCAGCACAGUAAGAGCUUGCUCUUACGGGUGGCGAGUGGCGGACGGUUGAGGUAUACAUCGGAAUCUACUUUUUCGUGGGUGAUAACGUAGGGUAACGUACGCUAAUACCGCAUACGACCUACGGGUGAAAGCAGGGGAUCUUCUGACCUUGUGCGAGUGAAUGAGCCGAGGUCGGAUUCGCUAGUUGGCGGGGUAAAGGCCCACCAAGGCGACGAUCCGUAGCUGGUCUGAGAGGAUGAUCAGCCAGACUGGCAGUGAGGCACGGUCCCGACUCCUGCGCGAGGCAGCAGUCGGGACUAUUGGGCGAUGGGCGCAAGCCUGAUACAGCAAUACCGCGUGAGUGCAGAAGCCCUUCGGGUUGGAGAGCCAUUUUGUUGGGAAAGAAGAGCAGCAGGUUAAUACCGCACUGUUAUGACGGUACCGAAAGAAUAAGCACCGGCUAACUUCGUG
Molecule: ribosomal RNA, 492 nt
Filed under: uncultured bacterium
Lineage: Bacteria
Description: partial 16S ribosomal RNA
Rfam family: Bacterial small subunit ribosomal RNA
Source: RNAcentral